UAAUUUUUGGGCCCAUUGAGAUAUCCUUAAUUAUAUAUGGUGGAAGUUUGGGCCGAUAUUAAGCCAUCCCUCAAUAUCAAAACAGGAUAAGUAAUACAAUGUAUGUACAUGGUAUGAGAGGCAGCGGGUCACCUUGGCUGAACUGUUUGGGAUAAUAUCCAAGGAUGCUUGUAUAGUGAUGGUGCAGAAAUUCAUCAUUGUGACUACCACUCACUGUGAUGUCAUCAUUACAUCUUUUUUCUUGACCUGGAGCACGCAUGAAAGAGGAGACUGAAAACUGGGCUUUAUCAUUCCCAUACAAUUCCUUAAAUCCAGCUACCACAACUCCAUGAAAGUCCAAAAUUUUACAAGCAUGGGAGAAUUUGGUCCUUAUCGUUUGCACUCUUGCAUUUGUUUGGACCAGCGAUUGAUCGAAGGGGUAUGUAACCUAUUUGGUUAGGGAGGAUGGGUGCAGCUGUGCUGUACAUGUUCCAGCCAACAAGGUGUUAAAGCUUCAGGAUUAACCAUUUGUAUGCUCGCAUAUAUGGGUGCAGCUGUGUCUUUAUUGAGAGAAGAACAU
Molecule: long non-coding RNA, 559 nt
Organism: Carya illinoinensis
Lineage: Eukaryota; Viridiplantae; Streptophyta; Magnoliopsida; Fagales; Juglandaceae
Exons: 4
Source: RefSeq, a predicted model, not a curated record